RNAcentral lists this ribosomal RNA (356 nucleotides) under uncultured bacterium. RNAcentral's name for it is "bacterial SSU rRNA". It matches the Rfam family "Bacterial small subunit ribosomal RNA", at positions 443 to 793 of the family's 1533-position model. The record is from RNAcentral.
GGUAGUGUAGUUAUAGCUGCAUUAUUUGUACGUUAGCGACAGAAGAAGCACCGGCUAACUCCGUGCCAGCAGCCGCGGUAAUACGGAGGGUGCGAGCGUUAAUCGGAAUUACUGGGCGUAAAGCGCAUGCAGGUGGUUUGUUAAGUUCAGAUGUGAAAGACCCGGGGCGUCAACCUCGGAAUAGCAUUUGAAACUGGCAGACUAGAGUACUGUAGAGGGGGGUAGGAAUUUCAGGUGUAGCGGUGAAAUGCGUAGAGAUCUGAAGGAAUACCGGUGGCGAAGGCGGCCCCCUCGGACAGAUACUGACACUCAGAUGCGAAAGCGUGGGGAGCAAACAGGAUUAGAUACCCUGGUAG